This 497-nucleotide ribosomal RNA is filed under the name uncultured bacterium. RNAcentral describes it as "partial 16S ribosomal RNA". It matches the Rfam family "Bacterial small subunit ribosomal RNA", at positions 28 to 507 of the family's 1533-position model. The record is from RNAcentral.
GAUGAACGCUGGCGGCGUGCCUAAUACAUGCAAGUCGAGCGAACAGAUGAGGAGCUUGCUCCUCUGACGUUAGCGGCGGACGGGUGAGUAACACGUGGAUAACCUACCUAUAAGACUGGGAUAACUUCGGGAAACCGGAGCUAAUACCGGAUAAUAUAUUGAACCGCAUGGUUCAAUAGUGAAAGACGGUUUUGCUGUCACUUAUAGAUGGAUCCGCGCCGCAUUAGCUAGUUGGUAAGGUAACGGCUUACCAAGGCAACGAUGCGUAGCCGACCUAAGAGGGUGGUAGGCGACAUGGGAACGGAGACGGGGACCAGACUCCUGCGGGAGGCAGCAGUAGGGAAUGGUCCGCAAUGGGCGAAAGCCUGACGGAGCAACGCGGCGUGAGUGAUGAAGGUCUUCGGAUCGUAAAACUCGGUUAUUAGGGAAAAACAAAUGUGUAAGUAACUAUGCACGGCUUGACGGUACCUAAUCAGAAAGCCACGGCUAACUACGUG